RNAcentral lists this ribosomal RNA (427 nucleotides) under uncultured bacterium. Its description in RNAcentral is "bacterial SSU rRNA". It matches the Rfam family "Bacterial small subunit ribosomal RNA", at positions 355 to 774 of the family's 1533-position model. The record is from RNAcentral.
UGGGGAAUUUUGGACAAUGGGGGCAACCCUGAUCCAGCCAUGCCGCGUGAGUGAAGAAGGCCUUCGGGUUGUAAAGCUCUUUCGGCCGGGAAGAAAUCGCAUGGGUUAAGACCCUGUGUGGAUGACGGUACCGGAAUAAGAAGCACCGGCUAACUACGUGCCAGCAGCCGCGGUACUAAGGAGGGUGCGAGCGUUAAUCGGAAUUAAUGUGCGUAAAGCGUGCGCAGGCGGUGUAGUAAGACAGGCGUGAAAUCCACGGGCUCAACCUGGGAACUGCGCUUGUGACUGCUAAGCUAGAGUACGGCGGAGGGGGGUGGGAUUCCACGUGUAGCAGUGGAAUGCGUAGAGAUGUGGAGGAACACCGAUGGCGAAGGCAGCCCCCUGGGCCGAUACUGACGCUCAUGCACGAAAGCGUGGGUAGCAAACA